Molecule: small RNA, 29 nt
Filed under: Bombyx mori (domestic silkworm)
Lineage: Eukaryota; Metazoa; Arthropoda; Insecta; Lepidoptera; Bombycidae
Description: ovarian small RNA-6028
Source: RNAcentral
UACCAUCGCAUCGCCCGCUACCAGAGCAG